GACGAACGCUGGCGGCGUGCUUAACACAUGCAAGUCGAACGCUGAAGCUUGGUGCUUGCACUGGGUGGAUGAGUGGCGAACGGGUGAGUAAUACGUGAGUAACCUGCCCUUGACUCUGGGAUAAGCCUGGGAAACUGGGUCUAAUACUGGAUACGACAUGUCACCGCAUGGUGGUGUGUGGAAAGGGUUUUACUGGUUUUGGAUGGGCUCACGGCCUAUCAGCUUGUUGGUGGGGUAAUGGCUCACCAAGGCGACGACGGGUAGCCGGCCUGAGAGGGUGACCGGCCACACUGGGACUGAGACACGGCCCAGACUCCUACGGGAGGCAGCAGUGGGGAAUAUUGCACAAUGGGCGGAAGCCUGAUGAAGCGAUGCCGCGUGAGGGAUGACGGCCUUCGGGUUGUAAACCUCUUUCAGCACGGAAGAAGCGAAAGUGACGGUACGUGCAGAAGAAGCGCCGGCUAACUACGUG
This 472-nucleotide ribosomal RNA is filed under the name uncultured bacterium. Its description in RNAcentral is "partial 16S ribosomal RNA". It matches the Rfam family "Bacterial small subunit ribosomal RNA", at positions 28 to 507 of the family's 1533-position model. The record is from RNAcentral.